This 2900-nucleotide ribosomal RNA is filed under the name Klebsiella pneumoniae. RNAcentral's name for it is "bacterial LSU rRNA". It matches the Rfam family "Bacterial large subunit ribosomal RNA". The record is from RNAcentral. Lineage: Bacteria; Pseudomonadati; Pseudomonadota; Gammaproteobacteria; Enterobacterales; Enterobacteriaceae. RNAcentral also lists the same sequence under 1 other name.
UUAAGCGACUAAGCGUACACGGUGGAUGCCCUGGCAGUCAGAGGCGAUGAAGGACGUGCUAAUCUGCGAAAAGCGUCGGUAAGGUGAUAUGAACCGUUAUAACCGGCGAUGUCCGAAUGGGGAAACCCAGUGCAAUUCGUUGCACUAUCGUUAACUGAAUACAUAGGUUAACGAGGCGAACCGGGGGAACUGAAACAUCUAAGUACCCCGAGGAAAAGAAAUCAACCGAGAUUCCCCCAGUAGCGGCGAGCGAACGGGGAGCAGCCCAGAGUCUGAAUCAGCUUGUGUGUUAGUGGAACGGUCUGGAAAGUCCGACGGUACAGGGUGAUAGUCCCGUACACCAAAAUGCACAGGCUGUGAACUCGAAGAGUAGGGCGGGACACGUGGUAUCCUGUCUGAAUAUGGGGGGACCAUCCUCCAAGGCUAAAUACUCCUGACUGACCGAUAGUGAACCAGUACCGUGAGGGAAAGGCGAAAAGAACCCCGGCGAGGGGAGUGAAAAAGAACCUGAAACCGUGUACGUACAAGCAGUGGGAGCACCUUCGGGUGUGACUGCGUACCUUUUGUAUAAUGGGUCAGCGACUUAUAUUCUGUAGCAAGGUUAACCGUAUAGGGGAGCCGCAGGGAAACCGAGUCUUAACUGGGCGUUAAGUUGCAGGGUAUAGACCCGAAACCCGGUGAUCUAGCCAUGGGCAGGUUGAAGGUUGGGUAACACUAACUGGAGGACCGAACCGACUAAUGUUGAAAAAUUAGCGGAUGACUUGUGGCUGGGGGUGAAAGGCCAAUCAAACCGGGAGAUAGCUGGUUCUCCCCGAAAGCUAUUUAGGUAGCGCCUCGUGAACUCAUCUUCGGGGGUAGAGCACUGUUUCGGCUAGGGGGUCAUCCCGACUUACCAACCCGAUGCAAACUACGAAUACCGAAGAAUGUUAUCACGGGAGACACACGGCGGGUGCUAACGUCCGUCGUGAAGAGGGAAACAACCCAGACCGCCAGCUAAGGUCCCAAAGUCAUGGUUAAGUGGGAAACGAUGUGGGAAGGCACAGACAGCCAGGAUGUUGGCUUAGAAGCAGCCAUCAUUUAAAGAAAGCGUAAUAGCUCACUGGUCGAGUCGGCCUGCGCGGAAGAUGUAACGGGGCUAAACCAUGCACCGAAGCUGCGGCAGCGACACUAUGUGUUGUUGGGUAGGGGAGCGUUCUGUAAGCCUGCGAAGGUGACCUGUGAGGGUUGCUGGAGGUAUCAGAAGUGCGAAUGCUGACAUAAGUAACGAUAAAGCGGGUGAAAAGCCCGCUCGCCGGAAGACCAAGGGUUCCUGUCCAACGUUAAUCGGGGCAGGGUGAGUCGACCCCUAAGGCGAGGCCGAAAGGCGUAGUCGAUGGGAAACAGGUUAAUAUUCCUGUACUUGGUGUUACUGCGAAGGGGGGACGGAGAAGGCUAUGUUAGCCGGGCGACGGUUGUCCCGGUUUAAGCAUGUAGGCUGGUUGUCCAGGCAAAUCCGGAUAAUCAAGGCUGAGGUGUGAUGACGAGGCACUACGGUGCUGAAGUAACAAAUGCCCUGCUUCCAGGAAAAGCCUCUAAGCAUCAGGUAACAUCAAAUCGUACCCCAAACCGACACAGGUGGUCAGGUAGAGAAUACCAAGGCGCUUGAGAGAACUCGGGUGAAGGAACUAGGCAAAAUGGUGCCGUAACUUCGGGAGAAGGCACGCUGGUGUGUAGGUGAAGUCCCUGCGGAUGGAGCUGAGACCAGUCGAAGAUACCAGCUGGCUGCAACUGUUUAUUAAAAACACAGCACUGUGCAAACACGAAAGUGGACGUAUACGGUGUGACGCCUGCCCGGUGCCGGAAGGUUAAUUGAUGGGGUUAUCCGUAAGGAGAAGCUCUUGAUCGAAGCCCCGGUAAACGGCGGCCGUAACUAUAACGGUCCUAAGGUAGCGAAAUUCCUUGUCGGGUAAGUUCCGACCUGCACGAAUGGCGUAAUGAUGGCCAGGCUGUCUCCACCCGAGACUCAGUGAAAUUGAACUCGCUGUGAAGAUGCAGUGUACCCGCGGCAAGACGGAAAGACCCCGUGAACCUUUACUAUAGCUUGACACUGAACAUUGAGCCUUGAUGUGUAGGAUAGGUGGGAGGCUUUGAAGCGUGGACGCCAGUCUGCGUGGAGCCAACCUUGAAAUACCACCCUUUAAUGUUUGAUGUUCUAACGUUGGCCCCUGACCGGGGUUGCGGACAGUGUCUGGUGGGUAGUUUGACUGGGGCGGUCUCCUCCCAAAGCGUAACGGAGGAGCACGAAGGUUAGCUAAUCCUGGUCGGACAUCAGGAGGUUAGUGCAAUGGCAUAAGCUAGCUUGACUGCGAGCGUGACGGCGCGAGCAGGUGCGAAAGCAGGUCAUAGUGAUCCGGUGGUUCUGAAUGGAAGGGCCAUCGCUCAACGGAUAAAAGGUACUCCGGGGAUAACAGGCUGAUACCGCCCAAGAGUUCAUAUCGACGGCGGUGUUUGGCACCUCGAUGUCGGCUCAUCACAUCCUGGGGCUGAAGUAGGUCCCAAGGGUAUGGCUGUUCGCCAUUUAAAGUGGUACGCGAGCUGGGUUUAGAACGUCGUGAGACAGUUCGGUCCCUAUCUGCCGUGGGCGCUGGAGAAUUGAGGGGGGCUGCUCCUAGUACGAGAGGACCGGAGUGGACGCAUCACUGGUGUUCGGGUUGUCAUGCCAAUGGCACUGCCCGGUAGCUAAAUGCGGAAGAGAUAAGUGCUGAAAGCAUCUAAGCACGAAACUUGCCCCGAGAUGAGUUCUCCCUGAGACUUUAAGUCUCCUGAAGGAACGUUGAAGACGACGACGUUGAUAGGCCGGGUGUGUAAGCGCAGCGAUGCGUUGAGCUAACCGGUACUAAUGAACCGUGAGGCUUAACCUU